UGGGAAUCUUCACAAUUGUGCUAUGGCUAAUGCAUCACCUCUGUCAGCUGAAUUACUUCCAAGCAGAUCCUCCUCCUCUCCCAUAAUUCCAGAUUUCAAGUUUUCCCAGCCUCCAACAAUGUCAGGGUAGCAAGGAAAGGACUUUGGAGUCAGAAAGACUCCAUGUUCGGGACCUGCUACUUCCUAACCAUGUCACCGUUGGGACCAAAUAUAGACCAUGACAAUAGAGCAGCAUCAGAUAUGGUGAAAAUCAUAAUGCUGGUCUCCUUACAAAAUCAUGAUACUGAAACAGAAGAGGCAAACAAGGUAACAUGCAGCACUAAGUGAAGUCAAUUUUGUGAAAGCAGUGAAUUAAAGUCACAUGCGAGACCCCAGGAGCGACCAGCAGAAGAACCACCUGCCUGAUCCCAACCCAAAUUGCUGACCUGUAGAACUGUGGGCCAUUUCAUAGUUUUGUGUUUCAAAACCAUAAAAAACCAAAAGUGAUGGUUUUCUCUGCAGUGAUAGAUACGUACUACAGAAAUCUUUGGAGUUUCAAAUAAGGUGUGAAAUAAAAUUUUUAUCGUUUAAAGACCUGUUUAAUCCCAAAUAUACUGAUGAAUCCAUCCAUAAAAACCAUGGUCUUCAGGGGUGCCUGGGUGGCUCAGUCAGUUAAGCGUCUGACUUUGGCUUAGGUCAUAGUCUCAUGGUCCGUGGGUUCGAGCCCCAUGUUGGGCUCUGUGCUGACAGCUCGAAGCUUGCAGCCUGCUUCAGAUUCUGCCUCCCUCCGUCUCUCUGCCCCUCCCUAGCUCACACUCUGUCUCUCUCUCUCAAAAUUAUAAAGAGUUUUUAAAAAACAUGGUCUUCAAGCUUUCUAAAAAAGAUAAAAAUAUUAUAGCCUUGAUUAGAGACAGUGCAGCUUACAAGUCUAUGCUGGGUCACAGGGGUCUUAGUCCCUUCGCUUCAAAAUGAAAUCUUAGCCUCAAGCAUAUUAAAACCAUGUGAAACCACAAACACUAGACAAAAAAAAAAGAGCCAAAAGUCAUUUGACUCUUUACCCUAUUUCAGCUAAAAAUAGUAUGAGAAAAAUUCUGAUGAAAACCAAGAUAGCAUUUUAGACCAGCAUUAUGAAAUGUGUUUCUAAAGAAGAUUAAAAAGGAAGUAUCUGUGAGUCCUAAACUGUGGCGUUUAGAUUCUGUGUUAUGCUGAAAUAAUCAAGGAACCAUUACAUCAUUCUUAAAAAUGUGAAAGACUGAAAGAUGAUCUUUGAACAUACAAUCUUGGAAAUAACUUGAAAACAACCAGCACUGUUAAAAUAUAAAAAGCUAUUUUGUGAAAAAAUUCUGUAAUUAGUGAAAGCCAAGAUGUUUGCUCUUGCUGUGCAUAAUUAUUUGAUCUGCAGAGAAAUGAGAUUCACUUUUGUUAUAUAAAUAGCAUUAUUUUUUAAAUGGUUCUUUAAGUGAUAAUAUUUAACCAGGCUUUAUGGCUAUUUAUUCAUAGUACCUCAUAGUACUUUCCAUUAAUUUCUCAAGGAUGUUAACAUUAUCUUCCUGGGGUGUUCAUCAUCAUGUUUGAUCACAUAUUUUGGUCAGAUGGUAUAUGGCUUGACAGAAAACUAUGCAUAAUACUUUCAAAAUGAGUUUAUUUAAUUCCAAUGUCUUAUAAUCAUCUUAUAUUUCAAUAUCUUAUAGCAAGGGUGGGAAAACAUGGAAGAGAAAUAAUUUAGAGAAGUUCUUGCCCCACCAUUCCAAGCCAAGUUUGCCCACUCAGUGUAGGACAGCAGAGAAAGAAAAGAAGGGUAGAAACAGACAAGAAAGGAGAAAGGAGAAUCCAAGUGAAGUAAGGGGAAAUAUGAUAAAAAAUAAAGAAAGGAAAUUAGAUGAGGAAAAAAGGGGAGAUGAGAAGGCCAGAUCCUUGAGCAAGAGAUUUAGGCUUUCACAAACAGCAUGUCAAGCAGUGACUACCCAGCUGUUGUGUAACUAUUAGGGUUCCUUCAAUUUUGCACCUGUAGCUCAUUCUGGCAAAUCUUAGCCUCUUUUGGAUCAUGGACAACUUUGAGAAUAUGAUGACAGCUAUAAAAUGUAGAUAGAUCCUCUCUCCAGGCAGAAGUAAACAUAUACACUUACCUUUUACUUCACAUUUUCUGGGGGGUGUUCUAUAAAAUUUGGUGUUCUAUCCCUAAUUGAGAAGUUUCCAAGUCUCAUAUCAAGGCACUUGGGUAACUACCCCCACACCAACAUUACCUGGAACCUCAGUGGUUUUACCUGGCUUCAGGAUCCAACCAUAAUUGCUCCUCUUUCCUGUGAUACUCUCUCCACAUGAAAUUUGUGGCAAGGUGAGCGCUUUGCUAGAAAAACUUGGUCUCCUCCCCCAGGAGUAAAGGAGGCUACUUCUACUCUGCCACAAGCCAUGACUGAAAGGCGGUGCUAUCCACCCUCAUUUGAGAAAUUUAAGGAAGAAAGGAAAUAGAUUCACCUGGCAACAACUGCUAAGCCAAUCUGCAAAUACUACAAAUAUGGCUGAAAGAGCUGAAAGUCUCUUAAGUUGGUGGUAUGUCUUAAUUAUUUGACUGAAUUCAAACUUUAUUUCACAAUCCAGACAUUAGGAGUGGAGAUGUGUAUGUGGAGUGAUAAAGUUAAUUCAGAUAUCAGGACCCACAGAAUGAAGGCAGCCAGAGUGGCCCAACCCACACCCCAAAUCUAAACCUAAGUUAGCCUGCACAUAGAGAAAAAACACCUGUCAAGGAAACCUAAAAUACACUAAUUACAGUCCUGCACCUCAGCUUUAGCUAGCUUACCUUACCCUGGAAAGUACAACCUGCUCAACUUCUAGGAAAAUCCCCAACCUCCUAGCCAAUCAUGCCUUGUUUCCGUAUUGCCGCCUCUAAUGCUCUAUAAAACUCCCACUUGCCCCAAAUCCUUUGGGAACAGUGUUCCACGGCUUGUGAGGCACUGUACUGCCUCCAUGGGCUGUUUUCCCUGGGAUAAAGGACAUGAAACUCAUUACUAAAUUGUUUUAAUUUUUAAAAAAUUAAAAGUAAAAGUAAAUUGUUUCAUUUUGUCAUUUGACAGGAUAGAAAGACAAAAGGGGAAGGGAAGGGAGAGAUGAAGAGAAAAAUGCUAUUAC
Molecule: long non-coding RNA, 3105 nt
Organism: Acinonyx jubatus (cheetah)
Lineage: Eukaryota; Metazoa; Chordata; Mammalia; Carnivora; Felidae
Exons: 3
Source: RefSeq, a predicted model, not a curated record